CUUCCAUUGAGUACCAUUAGACCACUCAAGAAGAAUUACCUCAUAUAACCAAGAUUUAAUGUUGUUAAGCAGAUUUUGAGCGGAUUUCAUUCAUUCUGCAGCCAGCUCACCAGAACCUCUGGGUGCACCAGCUGUGGAUAUUACAGGCCAAACUUUGGUUUUCACAUUGUUUGGAGGACAAAAUCGGGAAGGAUGUAGGGGCACACAGUUUGGGCACACAUACACAGUUCAUCUUUGGACACCCUAGGACAACAUCCUUAGCACAGAUCCACCUAUAGCCCUCCAUCAUUCCCACAUCCAUCUUGCAACAGUUUCAUUAACUGCAGUCCAUAACCAGUUCACGGUCUACACCUUGUCCAUUGCAAAUGUUAUGGAUUAUUCUAAUAGAGAUCUUUCUAUUAUUUUUUGAGACUGUUAUUAUGUACUCUGUUAUGUUGUGAAUAAAGUCAGCCCCCCCCCCACCUCGAUGCUUUCAGCAGUUAAUAGAUUAAAGUGUGUCCUUAAUGUUUUAUUAUUUAAAGAUUGUUUUAAAGUUUAUUACAGGCUCAGUUUAUUUUUUUUCACUAGAAAAUAAAGUGGAGUAUUAACUGUCAUAAUCAAGUAUGAGACUUUUGUCAGUAUAAUUAAUUCUAUGAGGCAAUAUGAAUCAAAUUAACAUUUGUAUAGGGUUUUCAUCCGAAGGCUUCUUCCUCAUUCAGUUAAACAUCAAGGGUUUUCUAUGCCUUUGUCACCUUUUACUUUCUCAUUGGAAAUUUAUGAGCAUCAGUAUUUGGAAGAAAAUAAGAAUAUGAAAAUGGCUUUGAUUUCAAUGUAUUGAAUGGAAUCAAAGAACCACACAAACCUUUGACCUUCACACAGACAUUGUAUUAAUUAAAGUGUUACUCAAAUUA
Carassius gibelio (silver crucian carp) is the source of this 890-nucleotide long non-coding RNA. RefSeq lists it as uncharacterized. The record is from RefSeq and is a predicted model, not a curated record. Lineage: Eukaryota; Metazoa; Chordata; Actinopteri; Cypriniformes; Cyprinidae. The transcript has 3 exons.